GUCAGGAUGGCCGAGUGGUCUAAGGCACCAGACUCAAGAAUGUGGCUUUCCCUUAGUUGUGUGUUCUGGUCUCCAAAUGGAGGUGUGGGUUCAAAAUCUACUUCUGACA
RNAcentral lists this transfer RNA (109 nucleotides) under Pelodiscus sinensis (Chinese soft-shelled turtle). It matches the Rfam family "tRNA". Rfam says of the family: Transfer RNA (tRNA) molecules are approximately 80 nucleotides in length. The record is from Rfam by way of RNAcentral. Lineage: Eukaryota; Metazoa; Chordata; Testudines; Trionychidae.